This is a long non-coding RNA of Drosophila kikkawai, 1028 nucleotides long. RefSeq lists it as uncharacterized. NCBI's taxonomy places the organism in Eukaryota, Metazoa, Arthropoda, Insecta, Diptera, Drosophilidae. The record is from RefSeq and is a predicted model, not a curated record.
AACAAGUGUCGUGCCGAUUUAAUGCGCCUCUUGUUGCACAAAUACAUCUUUAAUGUUAUAGUAGUAUGAAAAGAGCCAUUUAUAAGGACCCUUCAGUUCCAGAAUUCCUCGCCCGUCCAAUUCCUCGCGGUAUGUUCGAAAAACAAAAACAAAUUACAUGGGCCUCGUUCAGCGAAGUUCGAAACAAAAUAGCCGAAACAAAUUCUACCUACGCUCGGCUACUGCCGAGGGCUUCACGAAGUUCGUUCUUCAUAUUUGUUAUUGUUUUCGAUCUACGUUCGGAGUAGCGGUUGCGAGAAUUCGUAAAUUAGAGAGAGAUGGAGAUGGAAGGAAGGGAGGAAAGAAAAUUGGUGUCAAAAACAAAGAGUAUUGCACCGACGUGAGAAUGACCUUUUUAAAAUAAGUAGAGUUAUUUAAAAAUAUUUAAGAUUAUAUUUAAUUAAUUUUUACGUAUAAAAUCGUGUGGGAUAUGAGCACGUAAGAAAAUGUGCUUUAGACAUGGCCGAAAUGUUCAUGUUUGAUUAUUGGCCCUUUGUGAAUCUAAUUGCAAGGCAUUGCCUUGUCGGCUAUACCCUGACACGCGCGAGAAUUUUCGGUCUUCGGUUUUGUCUUCUAAUUCUCUUUGCAUUUAGAGUUGACUGCUGUUGCAUUCAGAUGUGUUUUGCGUAUAGUUGCGUAAAAAUGAAAUAUUAUAAGGUAAGUGGAACUUAUUUGCAUUCAAUUAUUAAUUUUAAUUGCAGAAUUGACGAUUAAAAUGGAUGCGACUUCAACCUAGACGGUGUGAAUGGGAUUCAGUACGGAUUUACAAAGUUUUUUUAUCCAGUUUAAGUUGAUAAAACAAGUUUCUUAAAGGACCCAGCAGCCGGCAAAGGAGACUCGUGACACGCACUUAUGUACAUACAUAUGUACAUAUGUAUGUACAUAUGUACAUAUGUAUACAUGUUUAAUUUUGGAGAACAAUUUAAUGCUACCAAAAAAGUGAAGAUAAAUAAAAACAUGCAAUCCAUAAAUAAAUAAGGAAUAAAUUA